UGUCGUGUAGGCCAGCAGCUGUAGCUCGGAUUGGACCCUUAGCCUGGGAACCUCCAUAUGCCAAGGGUGAGGCCCUAAAAAGACAAAAAGACACAAAAAUAAAAAUAAAAAAUAAAUAUCUUAGAGCCUCUUGACACUUCCCAAGUCGAGAACAUGGACUUCAAGGCUAUGGUGGUAACUUAGGUAUAAACUAGGACAAACAUAGAAAAGAGGUGAGCAGGUUAGGAAAGAGUUAAAAAAAAAAUUCUGAACACCUUCUCCUACCACCUCUGCAAACACAGAGGCCAAGAGAAAAUGCGCGCACACACACACACACACACACACACACACACACACACACAUUCCAUCAAAGAACCUGUUUUGCAAGUUUUGCUGGUAAAAAGCAGGAAGGGGGUUGCUAGAGAGCGGAGUGGAAAAGCCUUAGAAGUAUCCAUAGAAGGCUUUUCAAAACCUAAGUUUUCAAGGUAACUUUAUCCUGCAGAGAGAGGCACAUGCACCUCUGUAGGUUUUUCUUCAACCGAUUAAGCGCAUUGUUAGACAGGGCGGGGCAGAUUACCGAAUGCCUAUAAUUUUGAUCAUUGUUUUUUGCAAAACAGCUCAGGCUUUGAAAACGAAGCCAUCCUUCUUGGCGAAGUUUCUGCCAACAGCACAAAUUAGACCGUUUGGAGCUCCAAAGCCCCUGAAAAGGGUUCAUUAAUGAACAAUUCGAGACGAUUAAGUGUUCGCCCGACAGGUACCGUUGGCAUGUAGGCAGGUGGGGUUAGGGUUUCCGUGGAGAUUUAUGAUGUCAUGCUUGAAAGAGCAUGUCAAGACAGCCAAUUUAGCAAGUAGCUCCUCAAAAAGUCCUAUAGGCUGGAAGUAGCUUUUAUGCAAAUGACGAGAGUUUCACUGGGAAAAACUGCAAAAGAAAAUAGUAGAGCCAUGGGGGGGUUUACCUGACAGCUCAGAAGAUGACCCGGGAGUCCAUUAGAGACGAAAACUCCAGAAGCUGAAUUAGAUUUUCUCCUUUAACUGCCACUUCACCUGUGGAGCUCCAGGUACAGAUACUUCGUCUGUUCUCAUUCUCAGAUAACACUACUUUUGACCAUUGUGCUGCUCAACAACAGUGCCCCUGGAACUAGAUGAUAGGAAUCUUUACCCCCCCAAAAAUAAAAAUUGGCAGUGUGCCCUUGUGAUCAUGUGAGUAUUUGCAAUUGGAAGUGAAAAGUUUGGGGUAGAAAUUGUCAGCUUUGAUUGCCAUGAGAUUUAGUUAUUUAUAACUUGUUUUCCCUCUUCUUCAGAAAUAGAUGAAAUAAGUUUUCAUCAAGUAUCCAGUAAGAGCCAGGAAUUCAUGUAGCUGAGGGAAACGUAAAGAUUAAUAAAGAUGAUUUGUGUGCUCAAGGAAGGUCAGGCUGGUGACAGACUCUCAUAUCUUUAGAACCGGUAGAAUAAAUCUUCUGUUAGGAGUCUGAGUCAGGCAUUAUCAGAACCCAGAGGAGGACAGAGUUCUCCCCAGGUGAGGGAACUGGAAGGACUUCAGAGAGAAGGAUGUAUUUGAAUUGAUCUUAAAAGAAUGAUAGACUGCUAAUGCAGCUAACCAGGCUUUUCUAAAGAGUCAAAUUAUUUUUGUAGUUAGGGCUUAAUAGGAGUAAUAAUGCUAUAAAGGGAGAAAAAGCACCCACUGAAGCAAACCUGUUCUCUUUUCACGUAGGUGUCAUACUUGGCAUAUGUUGGUCUAGAAACAACUUGAUGAUUUGCUCACUGCUGCAGACUCUGCCCAACAUCACACAGCAAACGGAGUCUUGAAAUUUGAGUGUGGGUUGAAUGUUCAUAAAUAAAUUGCGUUUCCCUUUAUCUUACAUUUAAUUAAAGAGGUGAUGUGCUUUCUGAUUACCCUGUAUUUGGCAGGGGUAGCUAUUCCUUUAACUCUGUUUUCCUGCCCUAUAGCUUCCUUCUCCAGUAGUUAAUCACCAGCAUCCUUAGACUAAGUUACUAGAGGGUGAUGCGGUUUAAAAAAAAAAAAAAAAAGUCAGUGAGCAGGAAAGGAUUAUGGCGCAAAUCAUUUGCUCCCUAGUUCCUUUG
Non-coding RNA from Sus scrofa (pig), 2061 nucleotides. NCBI's taxonomy places the organism in Eukaryota, Metazoa, Chordata, Mammalia, Artiodactyla, Suidae. The record is from RefSeq and is a predicted model, not a curated record.